CCCAGACAGACGCACUAGAGCAGGGAAUCCCUCUUAUCUAUGUUCGGGGAAAACUGCCCGAACAUAGAGCAACACUCCAACGUGGGGAAUCCCUUGAACCCCCACGCUAGAGAGCUGGUUGUAAGUUCGAGCCAUUCUAAAACAGGCAGGUUGUAAAGUGAGGACCACUUGUACAUGGAAAAAUAAGGUAAACGGUUUGAUUAACGAAACAGGGGGUCUGUCAGUAAAAUACAGUAAUACAGCGCAGAUUAAGUGCAGACGAGGUAUAUUUGCACAUUGCGCACAGGAGUCAACACCAAUAUGCUCUGAACUCCUAGGUAAGAAAUUGGUUAUAUAUAAAGAAAAUGCAUUGAAUGAUCUAUACAAUAAUAUAUAGGUUUUACAUAGAUACUUUCAUUUUACUGUUAUAGCUUGUAGCUGUGUGUUCAUCACGUUUUUGUAUUAUAUUUUUUGAAUGUCAGAGCAGAGCAAAUAAUUAUGCAGAGUUUGCCACCCAAGGAACAUUGUACAGCUACGUUGAAGUAGAUUGUUGGUUCCUAAUUA
Molecule: non-coding RNA, 543 nt
Organism: Pelobates cultripes (western spadefoot toad)
Lineage: Eukaryota; Metazoa; Chordata; Amphibia; Anura; Pelobatidae
Source: the annotation of a GenBank genome assembly